CCUACGGGUGGCAGCAGUGGGGGAUAUUGCACAAUGGGGGAAACCCUGAUGCAGCGACGCCGCGGGUGGGAAGACGGUCCUCUGGAUUGUAAACCACUGUCCCCAGGGACGAAGAUGACGGUACCUGGGGAGGAAGCUCCGGCUAACUACGUGCCAGCAGCCGCGGUAAUACGUAGGGAGCGAGCGUUGUCCGGAAUUACUGGGUGUAAAGGGAGCGUAGGCGGGACUGCAAGUUGGGUGUCAAAUCUACCGGCUCAACCGGUAGCCGCACUCAAAACUGCAGUUCUUGAGUGAAGUAGAGGCAGGCGGGAUUCCUAGUUGAGCGGUGGAAUGCGUAGAUAUUAGGAGGAACACCAGUGGCGAAGGCGGACUGCUGGGCUUUUACUGACGCUGAGGCUCGAAAGUGUGGGGAGCAAACAGGAUUAGAUACCCCAGUAGUC
This 440-nucleotide ribosomal RNA is filed under the name uncultured bacterium. RNAcentral describes it as "partial 16S ribosomal RNA". It matches the Rfam family "Bacterial small subunit ribosomal RNA", at positions 338 to 795 of the family's 1533-position model. The record is from RNAcentral.